GGAAAGCUCAGUCGGGAAAGCACGAGAUCCCUACUCUCAGGGUUGUGGGUUCGAGUCCCACAUUGGGCCA
Non-coding RNA from Podarcis lilfordi (Lilford's wall lizard), 70 nucleotides. NCBI's taxonomy places the organism in Eukaryota, Metazoa, Chordata, Lepidosauria, Squamata, Lacertidae. The record is from the annotation of a GenBank genome assembly.